AUUGAACGCUGGCGGCAGGCCUAACACAUGCAAGUCGAACGGUAACAGGAAGAAGCUUGCUUCUUUGCUGACGAGUGGCGGACGGGUGAGUAAUGUCUGGGAAACUGCCUGAUGGAGGGGGAUAACUACUGGAAACGGUAGCUAAUACCGCAUAACGUCGCAAGACCAAAGAGGGGGACCUUCGGGCCUCUUGCCAUCGGAUGUUCCCAGAUGGGAUUAGCUAGUAGGUGGGGUAACGGCUCACCUAGGCGACGAUCCCUAGCUGGUCUGAGAGGAUGACCAGCCACACUGGAACUGAGACACGGUCCAGACUCCUACGGGAGGCAGCAGUGGGGAAUAUUGCACAAUGGGCGCAAGCCUGAUGCAGCCAUGCCGCGUGUAUGAAGAAGGCCUUCGGGUUGUAAAGUACUUUCAGCGGGGAGGAAGGGAGUAAAGUUAAUACCUUUGCUCAUUGACGUUACCCGCAGAAGAAGCACCGGCUAACUCCGG
Molecule: ribosomal RNA, 489 nt
Filed under: uncultured bacterium
Lineage: Bacteria
Description: partial 16S ribosomal RNA
Rfam family: Bacterial small subunit ribosomal RNA
Source: RNAcentral